CCUACGGGAGGCAGCAGUGGGGAAUAUUGUGCAAUGGGCGAAAGCCUGACGCAGCGACGCCGCGUGAGGGAUGAAGGUCUUCGGAUCGUAAACCUCUGUCAGCAGGGAAGAACGGUCACUGUGCUAAUCAGCAGUGAAUUGACGGUACCUGCAAAGGAAGCACCGGCUAACUCCGUGCCAGCAGCCGCGGUAAUACGGAGGGUGCGAGCGUUAAUCGGAAUUACUGGGCGUAAAGCGCUCGUAGGCGGUAUGUCCAGUCAAGGGUGAAAUCCCCGCGCUCAACGUGGGAACUGCCUUUGAAACUGGCAGACUGGAGUGUGUGAGAGGAUAGUGGAAGUCCAGGUGUAGGAGUGAAAUCCGGAGAUAUCUGGAGGAACAUCAGUGGCGAAGGCGACUAUCUGGCACAUAACUGACGCUGAGGAGCGAAAGCGUGGGUAGCAAACAGGAUUAGAUACCCGAGUAGUC
Molecule: ribosomal RNA, 465 nt
Filed under: uncultured bacterium
Lineage: Bacteria
Description: partial 16S ribosomal RNA
Rfam family: Bacterial small subunit ribosomal RNA
Source: RNAcentral